Long non-coding RNA from Gambusia affinis (western mosquitofish), 1217 nucleotides. RefSeq lists it as uncharacterized. NCBI's taxonomy places the organism in Eukaryota, Metazoa, Chordata, Actinopteri, Cyprinodontiformes, Poeciliidae. The record is from RefSeq and is a predicted model, not a curated record. The transcript is spliced from 4 exons.
AUGGGAUUGCUGAAGGAGGGGCUUGUGCCAAAAGAUGCUGUACUACCAAAUGCUGGGGAACCACCAAAAGAUGGGGGACUCCCAAACACUGGAGGGCUGCCAAAGCCCCCUGCAUGAAGGAAAACAUAAAAAAAAAAUAACCAACAUACCAGACUGAGCGGGUUGCCCAAACCCUCCAGUUGAAGCAGUGGAGCCGAAUGGGUUCUUGUUGGCGGCAUCCUCGCUCGGUUUGCCCCCGAGGCCGCUGAAGAAUCCUCCAGAAGAUGAACCUGCUGCAUUGGCUGAAGCUGAACCGAACAAACUGCCCCCAGAUGACGACUGCAGGUGUUUUUCCCAUUCCACGUCUAAGACGUCGUUAACGUCUUCCACAGCAGAUGUGACAUACUGGGAGGAAGUUCUUGACGUGAAUGAGGAGAGAUGUGACUAGACAGCAGCAGCAACUCUACGUGCGUGUCUGCCAGACUGGGCCGGUGAGGAUGAAACAGUGCACUGAGACGGUAGCUUAUCACUAUUCUUUACACACGCUGCAACGGAGCACUGCAGUGGAUGCUGUGCGCACAAAGCAGCCUGAUGGAUUUCGGUUUCAUCUGAUCAAUAGAGGUGUGUUCAGCAAAAACAUUUCGGAGACGAAACAAAGAGGUGAUGUAUUGCUGCGCGAGAGAUGAACUGAGAUGAAGUGGAAAUAGUUUGCAGAGUUUCUAAGACGAGACUAACAGGCAGCGCUUUUGCAGAUCAACUUGAGAAACAAACGGUCGCUUCGUUGCGGCAGGCAGACACAAAUAUCACCUUUAAGAACGGCCUUGAAACUUUCCGUUUUCGAUUAUGACAUCUGGCCACGUCACAUCUGAGAGGCUUCGAAAACAAUGGGGAGACGCAACAAUAGAUUCUGAGAACCUCUCCUUUUUCUUUCCUGUUUGUGCGCCUUUCCUACACUGUCAACCUCCAGACACUAAAAGCAGAUGAACACCCAUCGUGAGACGUGAUUCUGCUUGUUUAGAGAGUUCUCCACUCUGUUGUUGCUUUGUGCAGCCUCUAGACAAAAGAUGAAAUGCAAGCCACUGUCUGUGGAGUUGCCCAAAUAAAGAUUUUCUUCUUUGUCAUCAACACUAAUCCACUUUUUUUUUUUUAUCUAAUUCCAGAAAAAUAUAAUCCUAAAUGCAUUUUUAUGUUAUAGAUUGCAACCUACUCAAUAGAGAAUGUACAAUCCAACACUGCAU